AGAGUUUGAUCCUGGCUCAGAAUCAACGCUGGCGGCGUGCCUAACACAUGCAAGUCGAACGAGAAAGUGGAGCAAUCCAUGAGUAAAGUGGCGACCGGGUGAGUAACACGUGACUACCUACCUUCGAGUGGGGGAUAACUCCGGGAAACCGGGGCUAAUACCGCAUAACAUCGAGAGAUCAAAGGAGCAAUUCGCUUGAAGAGGGGGUCGCGGCUGAUUAGUUAGUUGGUGAGGUAACGGCUCACCAAGGCUAUGAUCGGUAGCCGGUCUGAGAGGAUGGCCGGCCACACUGGAACUGAGACACGGUCCAGACUCCUACGGGAGGCAGCAGUGGGGAAUCUUGCGCAAUGGGCGAAAGCCUGACGCAGCAACGCCGCGUGGGGGAUGAAGCUUUUCGGAGUGUAAA
Molecule: ribosomal RNA, 406 nt
Filed under: uncultured bacterium
Lineage: Bacteria
Description: bacterial SSU rRNA
Rfam family: Bacterial small subunit ribosomal RNA
Source: RNAcentral